Molecule: long non-coding RNA, 957 nt
Organism: Vitis vinifera (wine grape)
Lineage: Eukaryota; Viridiplantae; Streptophyta; Magnoliopsida; Vitales; Vitaceae
Exons: 3
Source: RefSeq, a predicted model, not a curated record
CUCCAGGUCAGCGAUAACUACUAUAGCACCCAUUUGAAGUUAUCGGUUCUUCCAAGGUUCAAGCAUUCAACAAUAAAUUCAUUCUUCAAUGGCCACUGCGGAGGCCACCAGAUUGUUCACACGUUGUUCAUCUUCAAGAUUCCUAAAACUAUGCAAUAGGCUCCCAAUUGAGAAAUUGGAAAUGGUUUGAGACCUUCAGUUUGGAGGUCUUCUAAACUUAAAUUUCAAGGAGAUACGACAUAAUAUAUGUCUAUGGCUAAUCGACCAUUUUAAUGUUGGCUUUAGACGCAUAAACAUAUCAUCCGACAAAAGCUAUGAUCUGACAGCUGCUGAUGUGGGCCUUGUCUUUGGCCUCUCGACAAUCGGACAGAUUCUACAAAUUGCAUCAACCCAUCUGAUUAUCCGUUCGGUACACUCAACACUUGUGAGGAGAGACUCCUCAACUUACCUAUCGGGGAGGAGUUCCGUAGAUGCUUCCUUUACUACGCGUGUGUGACGAUAUUGGCGCCAACCUCAAGGAUAGAUGGAUGCCGAAACUUGUGGCAUACCAUCCAUGAAGAUGGUUUUAGAAACGAUGUCAAUUGGGGCCAAUUUGUUGUUGACCAGCUUGUUGAGGGUAUAAGACAAUUUAAGCAACAGAAUAGUGUGUGGGUACAUGGUUGCAUCCUCUUUCUCCAGUGCCCCUCCUCUCCGCAUGGUCAGAUGAGUUGAUAAAGGAGCGCUUAGCUGCUAAGAUCAGUGAGUUUGGUAGUUUCGGACAUGGCGAGGUAGUCAUUUACUCUACAUGCAUUUUGUUAUGUAAUUUGAUGACAUGCAAAUUGAAUACUGAUUACUACUCAAAAAGUGCUAUUUUAUAGCUUUUAAUUAACUCUUUUAAACACUUUUGAGUAGUAGUUAUUACCUUUUAACCCAAUUAACAUAUUAAGGACCUUUGCAAUCAUUUCUAAUCAAAUUGUG